Long non-coding RNA from Nomascus leucogenys (northern white-cheeked gibbon), 299 nucleotides. RefSeq lists it as uncharacterized. The record is from RefSeq and is a predicted model, not a curated record. Lineage: Eukaryota; Metazoa; Chordata; Mammalia; Primates; Hylobatidae. The transcript is spliced from 3 exons.
UCUAUUUAAAUCCCUCUUCAAGUUAUUCUUUAUUUAGUAGAUUGUAACGUCUCUGAUUGGAGAAGCCCAGGUCUAUAAAGCAUUUCAUGACUAUUAAUGCUCUAAUCAUAUGAUUUUGUGGCACAGAAGUAGAUAUUGGGUCUAAUUAGGCAAAUUAACAGUGCAUAAAUUGUAAACUAGGUCAUUGGUGGGCUGUUUAGGUCUGGGAAGAGAUAAUGCUCAUUUAAUUCACUCGAAGAGCCAUUUAUCAAAUGCCUACUUUUGUGUCAGAAACUGGGAUCUGUAGAAAGAAGAGUAUU